GUCAUCCUCCAGGCCUUGUGCCCAUUCUCUGAGGCAGCAGAACACGUCAUUCUGAGUCCUCUUCUUUCCUCUCCUUGUCUGGCUCAGGCAUUCUGCGGAUGUGGAGGGGGACACCCUGAAGGCCACAAUACCAGCAGCUGAAGAUACAGCAUGCAAAGGGACUGAUGGAGCACAGCGCCAGUCACAGCACCAACCAUGCAUCAACAACACUUGAAGAAGAAAGGAAGCAGCAUUGAACUAGGGAGAGAUCCCGACUGAAGGAUUAAGCCAGUAAGACUGUUG
Molecule: long non-coding RNA, 282 nt
Organism: Malaclemys terrapin pileata
Lineage: Eukaryota; Metazoa; Chordata; Testudines; Emydidae
Exons: 3
Source: RefSeq, a predicted model, not a curated record